GAGGGUAUAGCUCAGUGGUAGAGCGCAUGCUUAGCAUGCAUGAGGUCCUGGGUUCAAUCCCCAGUACCUCCU
Camelus ferus (Wild Bactrian camel) is the source of this 72-nucleotide transfer RNA. It matches the Rfam family "tRNA". From Rfam's summary of the family: Transfer RNA (tRNA) molecules are approximately 80 nucleotides in length. NCBI's taxonomy places the organism in Eukaryota, Metazoa, Chordata, Mammalia, Artiodactyla, Camelidae. The record is from Rfam.